Molecule: long non-coding RNA, 375 nt
Organism: Hydra vulgaris (swiftwater hydra)
Lineage: Eukaryota; Metazoa; Cnidaria; Hydrozoa; Anthoathecata; Hydridae
Source: RefSeq, a predicted model, not a curated record
GUCCAAAGUGCCAAAUUAUAGAUAUAGAUGUCGAAGAAAUCAAAAUCAACUUAUGAGUUAUCGAAUUGAUUCUUUCAACAAUCUAUGAAGGUUUUUUCAGUGUUACUAUUUUUGGAUUAAUUGCCAAGCAAUGAAGCAGUGCGUUUAACUAUUAACAGAAGAACUCCUUCAGGGGCUGUUGAAUGCAAAGAAGUAAACAAUGACCAAGAUACAAAUGAUUUUGGCAGUGCACAUCCUGAUUCAAAUUGCCCAAAUGCUGCACACAGUGAAUUAUCGGUUAAAAAAAAAACUUUGGAAUUUCACCCGAUUCAAUUUAUUUGAUGAUUCAACUGAUUCAGAAUAAUUUAUUUAAAAGAAAUAUAUAAUUUUGUUUUA